AUCAUUUCCCUUCCACCUUCCUCCUCGCCGCUUCCUCUCCCUCCACCGCGCAGCUCCAGCCGCCUUGCCGCCGCCGCAUCCCCUUCCAAGUUCAGGCUGUGGGUGGAACCUGUUGCUUUAGCUCACGUUUCCCUUCCCCUCCGGGCUGCACGCUGAGGAUGACCUCAGCGAGGUUUGGCUUCCUUGAGACAGAGGAUCUUGCUCGCCUCAAAGAGGAGGGCAGUUUGCCCCCUUCCUCCUGACUCCAAGACAAAAGAGAGAAGACUGAAGAGUGGGAAGAGGUCAAAGGAAUAUCUUUAAAAGGGAUCCAGGGCCUCUCAGAGUUCACCUGAGCUUUCCCAAGUCUGGUUUGUUCUCUCUACCCUGCUGCUACUACUGCAAGUGACUUUCACAAGAUGCUUCUGAGCAUAGCAUUGCUCUGCUGUGACCACUGCAGAUGUCAAGAGAAUUUCUGCCUUUUGGAACUUGGACAAUAUUGGCCACCUACCCAGAGAGAGGAGAAGGAUAAUCCAGACAUAAAGGUAGCUCCCACACAUCCUUUGGAUCUCUGAUAAAGAGUCAUAUACUUAAAGAGCCAUCCUCACAUUCCUGCCCAGACUGUGAGCUGCAUGAGAGAGGCCAUGUCUCAUUUUGUUCCAUUACAUCUCCAGCACUUAAGAGUGCUGGACACAUAACGAGUGUCUGACACAUAACGAGUGCUGAAUAAAUGUUUGUUAACUGAUAAAAUG
Molecule: long non-coding RNA, 728 nt
Filed under: Homo sapiens (human)
Lineage: Eukaryota; Metazoa; Chordata; Mammalia; Primates; Hominidae
Description: non-protein coding IQCJ-SCHIP1-AS1:11
Source: RNAcentral